UUGUUCUGCCUAAGGAUUUCCUUGUUCAGAUCAAUCUGCCUAAAGCCCAUUUCCUCCAGCUCCCUCAGCAGCUUCUCUUCAUUGUGACCAUCUAUGUCAAAAGGCUCAGGUGCUGCGGCGCUGGCUGCAGGUGGAGGCACAGGCACAGAAGCAGGGGCAGGGGCAGAUGCAGGUGCGGAUGCAGGGGCAGGCAUAGAAACAGGCACAGUUGUAGGCAGGAUAGGCACAUUAACAGGUGAAGGUCCAACCGGGGCAAGCAGCUCAGGUGCAGGUGCAGGCACACUAACAGAAGGCACAAAAGCAGCAGCAGUGGCACUGGACAUGGGAACAUCAACGACAAG
RNAcentral lists this long non-coding RNA (341 nucleotides) under Setaria italica (foxtail millet). RNAcentral describes it as "long non-coding RNA (SITA_LNC000532)". Lineage: Eukaryota; Viridiplantae; Streptophyta; Magnoliopsida; Poales; Poaceae. The record is from RNAcentral.